RNAcentral lists this ribosomal RNA (468 nucleotides) under uncultured bacterium. RNAcentral describes it as "partial 16S ribosomal RNA". It matches the Rfam family "Bacterial small subunit ribosomal RNA", at positions 28 to 507 of the family's 1533-position model. The record is from RNAcentral.
GACGAACGCUGGCGGCGUGCUUAACACAUGCAAGUCGAACGGAAAGGCCCUGCUUUUGUGGGGGGCUCGAGUGGCGAACGGGUGAGUAACACGUGAGUAACCUGCCCUUGACUUUGGGAUAACUUCAGGAAACUGGGGCUAAUACCGGAUAGGAGCUCCUGCUGCAUGGUGGGGGUUGGAAAGUUUCGGCGGUUGGGGAUGGACUCGCGGCUUAUCAGCUUGUUGGUGGGGUAGUGGCUUACCAAGGCUUUGACGGGUAGCCGGCCUGGGAGGGUGACCGGCCCCAUUGGGACUGGGAUACGGCCCGGACUCCUUCGGGAGGCAGCAGUGGGGAAUAUUCCACAAUGGGCGGCAGCCUGAUGCAGCGACGCCGCGUGCGGGAUGACGGCCUUCGGGUUGUAAACCGCUUCCGCCUGUGACGAAGCGUGAGUGACGGUAAUGGGUAAAGAAGCACCGGCUAACUACGUG